Molecule: ribosomal RNA, 519 nt
Filed under: uncultured eukaryote
Lineage: Eukaryota
Description: SSU rRNA
Rfam family: Eukaryotic small subunit ribosomal RNA
Source: RNAcentral
AGGGCACCACCAGGAGUGGAGCCUGCGGCUUAAUUUGACUCAACACGGGAAAACUCACCCGGCCCGGACAUUGAAAGGAUAGACAGAUUAAGAGAUCUUUCUUGAUUCAGUGGGUGGUGGUGCAUGGUCGUUCUUAGUUGGUGGAGUAGUUUGUCUGGUUAAUUCCGAUAACGAACGAGAUUUUAACCUAUUAAAUAGAAUUUAAUCUUUUAAUUGCGAUUAAAUUUCUUCUUAGAGGAACAGGCGGCGUUUCAGCCGCACGAGAAAGAGCAAUAACAGGUCUGUGAUGCCCUUAGAUGUCCGGGGCUGCACGCGCGCUACAAUGAAGGCGACAGCAUGUAACAUAAACCCUCUCUGAGAAGAGCGGGUAACCAUAUGAAAAUUCUUCGUAAUAGGGACUGGGCAUUGUAAUUAUUGCCCAUGAACGAGGAAUUCCCAGUAAGCGUGAGUCAAAAACUUGCGUUGAUUACGUCCCUGCCCUUUGUACACACCGCCCGUCGCUAUUACCGAUUGAAUGAU